This 550-nucleotide ribosomal RNA is filed under the name Agaricus blazei. Its description in RNAcentral is "SSU rRNA". It matches the Rfam family "Eukaryotic small subunit ribosomal RNA", at positions 557 to 1111 of the family's 1831-position model. Lineage: Eukaryota; Fungi; Basidiomycota; Agaricomycetes; Agaricales; Agaricaceae. The record is from RNAcentral.
AAGUCUGGUGCCAGCAGCCGCGGUAAUUCCAGCUCCAAUAGCGUAUAUUAAAGUUGUUGCAGUUAAAAAGCCCGUAGUUGAACUUCAGACCUGGUGGGGUGGUCCGCUUAACGGCGUGUACUGCUCUGCUGGGCCUUACCUCUUGGUGAGCCGGCGUGGCCUUAACUGGUUGCGUCGGGGAACCAGGACUUUUACCUUGAGAAAAUUAGAGUGUUCAAAGCAGGCCUAUGCCUGAAUACAUUAGCAUGGAAUAAUAAAAUAGGACGUGCGGUUCUAUUUUGUUGGUUUCUAGAGUCGCCGUAAUGAUUAAUAGGGAUAGUUGGGGGCAUUGGUAUUGAGUCGCUAGAGGUGAAAUUCUUGGAUUGACUCAAGACCGACUACUGCGAAAGCAUUUGCCAAGGAUGUUUUCAUUAAUCAAGGACGAAGGUUAGGGGAUCGAAAACGAUCAGAUACCGUUGUAGUCUUAACAGUAAACUAUGCCGACUAGGGAUCGGGCAACCUCAAAUUUGAUGUGUCGCUCGGCACCUUACGAGAAAUCAAAGUUUUUGGG